UUAUUUAUAACAGCUUUCUUUUAAAAAAAGGGGAAAAUUUUGAAAUUUAACUGAAUGAAAUAUUACUAAGAAGUCAGGGUGUACCUCUAGAAGUAGAACACCCACCAGGACUGAGAAGUUCAUAAGAUGUUCUUGAUCUUUUAGAUAAUAUUCAGCAAAAUGCUAAUACCAGUUUUUCUAGUACAUGUAGUCCUGAAAAAAAUGCAUCAUAUCCGAUCCAAAGUGCAACUGAGCCACCACUUUUGAAAGCUUUAAAGUAGUAUAAUGUAUUUGGGUGUAAAGCUUCAGCUAAAUAACAUAAGAACUGGGAAGAAGAAGAUAUUUUAACUGUGAAAGACAGAGGAGUAAUUCUUAAGUCAGAGCAUGGAAGACAAAGAAAUAAGUCGAGCAACAGGAUUUAAAUUUGCCCAGCUCAAAUAACUCGAACACGAGAACAUCUUAAAAGUUGGCGGCCGCGAAGUUCUU
This is a long non-coding RNA of Daphnia magna, 465 nucleotides long. RefSeq lists it as uncharacterized. The transcript is spliced from 3 exons. The record is from RefSeq and is a predicted model, not a curated record. Lineage: Eukaryota; Metazoa; Arthropoda; Branchiopoda; Diplostraca; Daphniidae.